AUGAGGACAGAGCCAGUGCAUUGGGCUAGGGCAUUUUUUCCAUAUGGAUCAAACUGUGAGUCAGUGGAUAACAACCUAUGUGAGUCUUUCAACAAUGCCAUCAUAUAAUCAAGGUUUUAUCCCAUAAUAUCACAGCAAGAGAUGAUAAGGAAGAAGAUGUAUGUCAGAAUUCAGGAACAGAGAAGCAAAAGUGAUAAGUGGCAUGGAACAGUUUGCCCUAACAUUUUUAAGAAACUCCAGGGCAACAUCAAGAGAACUCAGUUUUGUGAGGUGCUCUGGAAUGGCAAGGAUGGAUUUGAGGUCAAGCAUUUGACUGGCAGAGGAAGGAGGUACACAGUGAACCUUGACAAGAAGACAUGCUCAUGUGGAUAUCUACAGUUGGCAGGCCUUCCUUGUUGUCAUGCAAUUUGUGCUAUAUACAAAAGUGGUAGAAAAAUAGAAGAAUUCAUUGACCCCUGCUACUACAUUGAGACUUUCAAGAAAAUAUAUGAGCAUUGUCUCCAGCCUGUGGAAGGUGAAGAAUGUUGGCCAGUUUCUCAGAACCCUAGGCCAGUGGCACCUGGCUAUAUUGCAAUGCCAGGAGCAAGGAAGAAAAACAAUGAUAGAAGGAGAGAGGAGGGGGAAGCACCCAAAGGAAAGAAACUUAGCAAGCAUUGA
RNAcentral lists this ribosomal RNA (657 nucleotides) under Triticum aestivum (bread wheat). Its description in RNAcentral is "partial small subunit ribosomal RNA". The record is from RNAcentral. Lineage: Eukaryota; Viridiplantae; Streptophyta; Magnoliopsida; Poales; Poaceae.